GGACUACUCGGGUAUCUAAUCCUGUUUGCUCCCCACGCUUUCGUGCUUCAGUGUCAGUGCUGGUCCAGGUAGCCGCCUUCGCCACUGGUGUUCCUCCCGAUCUCUACGCAUUUCACUGCUACACCGGGAAUUCCACUACCCUCUACCGCACUCUAGCUUGCCAGUAUCCACUGCCAUUCCCAGGUUGAGCCCGGGGAUUUCACAGCAGACUUAACAAACCACCUACGCACCCUUUACGCCCAGUAAUUCCGAGUAACGCUUGCACCCUUCGUAUUACCGCGGCUGCUGGCAC
RNAcentral lists this ribosomal RNA (292 nucleotides) under uncultured bacterium. RNAcentral's name for it is "partial 16S ribosomal RNA". RNAcentral also lists the same sequence under 1 other name. The record is from RNAcentral.